RNAcentral lists this small nucleolar RNA (134 nucleotides) under Chinchilla lanigera (long-tailed chinchilla). Its description in RNAcentral is "Small nucleolar RNA SNORA70 (ENSCLAG00000018563.1)". It matches the Rfam family "Small nucleolar RNA SNORA70". Rfam says of the family: snoRNA U70 seems to be exclusive to mammals and is a member of the H/ACA class of snoRNA which contain H (ANANNA) and ACA box motifs. The record is from Rfam by way of RNAcentral. Lineage: Eukaryota; Metazoa; Chordata; Mammalia; Rodentia; Chinchillidae.
CUGCAGUCAAUUAAGCUGACUGGGUUCCUUGCUGGUGGGUGCCCAGUGUGCAGUGGCUGUGGACAGCAAGCUCUUCGAUUGUGUACACAGCUUGUUGCUUGUACUGACUGCCCUAAGGGACCUUGGAGAUACUC